GGACUACCCGGGUAUCUAAUCCUGUUUGCUCCCCACGCUUUCGCGCCUCAGCGUCAGUAAUGGGCCAGUGAGUCGCCUUCGCCACUGGUGUUCUUCCGAAUAUCUACGAAUUUCACCUCUACACUCGGAGUUCCACUCACCUCUCCCACACUCUAGGUAUCCAGUAUCAAAGGCAGUUCCAGGGUUGAGCCCUGGGAUUUGACCCCUGACUUAGACACCCGCCUACGCGCCCUUUACGCCCAGUAAUUCCGAGCAACGCUAGCCCCCUUCGUAUUACCGCGGCUGCUGGCAC
RNAcentral lists this ribosomal RNA (292 nucleotides) under uncultured Alphaproteobacteria bacterium. RNAcentral describes it as "partial 16S ribosomal RNA". Lineage: Bacteria; Pseudomonadati; Pseudomonadota; Alphaproteobacteria. The record is from RNAcentral.